Molecule: ribosomal RNA, 230 nt
Filed under: uncultured bacterium
Lineage: Bacteria
Description: partial 16S ribosomal RNA
Rfam family: Bacterial small subunit ribosomal RNA
Source: RNAcentral
AGGGUAGCGUAGGCGGCUGAUUAAGUCAGCGGUGAAAGGUAGCAGCUUAACUGUUUUACAUGCCGUUGAUACUGGUUAGCUUGAGUUGACAGAAGGCAGAUAGAAUUCCUGGUGUAGCGGUGAAAUGCUUAGAUACCAGGAGGAAUACCGAUUGCGAAGGCAGUCUGCUGCAGUCACACUGACGCUGAGGCUCGAAGGUGCGGGGAUCAAACAGGAUUAGAUACCCUAGU